GAUGAACGCUGGCUACAGGCUUAACACAUGCAAGUCGCGGGGCAGCAUCGGGGUUGCUUGCACUCCCCGAUGGCGACCGGCGUACGGGUGAGUAACGCGUAUUCCACCUGCCCUUCACCACGGGAUAACCCGGCGAAAGUCGGACUAAUACCGUAUGUUGUCCAUUUACUGCAUCCGAUUUGGACGCAUCGCUUGGCGGUGAGGGAUCGGGCUGCGUGCGAUUAGCCAGACGGCGGGGUAACGGCCCACCGUGGCUACGAUCGGUAGGGGUUCUGAGAGGAAGGUCCCCCACACUGGAACUGAGACACGGGCCAGACUCCUACGGGAGGCAGCAGUGAGGAAUAUUGGUCGAUGGGCGUAAGCCUGAACCAGCCAAGUAGCGUGCAGGAUGACGGCCCUAUGGGUUGUAAACUGCUUCUAUGCGGGGAUAAAGUGGCCCACGUGUGGGCUUUUGCAGGUACCGCAUGAAUAAGGACCGGCUAAUUCCGUG
Molecule: ribosomal RNA, 490 nt
Filed under: uncultured bacterium
Lineage: Bacteria
Description: partial 16S ribosomal RNA
Rfam family: Bacterial small subunit ribosomal RNA
Source: RNAcentral